This 497-nucleotide ribosomal RNA is filed under the name uncultured bacterium. RNAcentral describes it as "partial 16S ribosomal RNA". It matches the Rfam family "Bacterial small subunit ribosomal RNA", at positions 28 to 507 of the family's 1533-position model. The record is from RNAcentral.
GAUGAACGCUGGCGGCGUGCCUAAUACAUGCAAGUCGAGCGAACGGACGAGAAGCUUGCUUCUCUGAUGUUAGCGGCGGACGGGUGAGUAACACGUGGAUAACCUACCUAUAAGACUGGGAUAACUUCGGGAAACCGGAGCUAAUACCGGAUAAUAUUUUGAACCGCAUGGUUCAAAAGUGAAAGACGGUCUUUCUGUCACUUAUAGAUUGAUACGCGCUGCAUUAGCUAGUUGGUAAGGUAACGGCUUACCAAAGCAACGAUGCAUAGCCGACCUGAGAGGGUGAUCGGCCACACUGGAACUGAGACACGGUCCAGACUCCUACAGGAGGCAGCAGUAGGGAAUCUUCCGCAAUGGGCGAGAGCCUGACGGAGCAACGCCGCGUGAGUGAUGAAGGUCUUCGGAUCGUAAAACUCUGUUAUUAGGGAAGAACAUAUGUGUAAGUAACUGUGCACAUCUUGACGGUACCUAGUCAGAAAGCCACGGCUAACUACGUG